CCUACGGGAGACAGCAGUGGGGAAUAUUGGGCAAUGGGCGCAAGCCUGACCCAGCAACGCCGCGUGAAGGAAGAAGGCUUUCGGGUUGUAAACUUCUUUUGUCAGGGACGAAGCAAGUGACGGUACCUGACGAAUAAGCCACGGCUAACUACGUGCCAGCAGCCGCGGUAAUACGUAGGUGGCAAGCGUUAUCCGGAUUUACUGGGUGUAAAGGGCGUGUAGGCGGGACUGCAAGUCAGAUGUGAAAACCACGGGCUCAACCUGUGGCCUGCAUUUGAAACUGUAGUUCUUGAGUGCUGGAGAGGCAGACGGAAUUCCUAGUGUAGCGGUGAAAUGCGUAGAUAUUAGGAGGAACAUCAGUGGCGAAGGCGAAUAUCUGGCAAAUAACUGACGCUGAGGAGCGAAAGCGUGGGUAGCAAACAGGAUUAGAUACCCUAGUAGUC
Molecule: ribosomal RNA, 443 nt
Filed under: uncultured bacterium
Lineage: Bacteria
Description: partial 16S ribosomal RNA
Rfam family: Bacterial small subunit ribosomal RNA
Source: RNAcentral